UACCCGCGGUUAAUGGAAAGCCACAAGGGCCACAAGGCUCGGGCCAAGUCCUUGGAAAAGGGCAGCAGAGAGGGUGAGACUCCCGUGGCCUGAGCCAGUGAGCGAGCAUGUUGGAGUCGAGUUGUUUGGGAUUGCAG
Molecule: ribosomal RNA, 137 nt
Filed under: Pseudostaurosira brevistriata
Lineage: Eukaryota; Bacillariophyta; Fragilariophyceae; Staurosirales; Staurosiraceae
Description: partial 28S ribosomal RNA
Source: RNAcentral